This 496-nucleotide ribosomal RNA is filed under the name uncultured bacterium. Its description in RNAcentral is "partial 16S ribosomal RNA". It matches the Rfam family "Bacterial small subunit ribosomal RNA", at positions 28 to 506 of the family's 1533-position model. The record is from RNAcentral.
GAUGAACGCUGGCGGCGUGCCUAAUACAUGCAAGUCGAGCGAACGGACGAGAAGCUUGUUUCUCUGAUGUUAGCGGCGGACGGGUGAGUAACACGUGUAUAACCUACCUAUAAGACUGGGAUAACUUCGGGAAACCGGAUCUAAUACCGGAUAAUAUUUUGAACCGCUUGGUUCAAAAGUGAAAUACGGUCUUUCUUUCUCUUCUAGAUUUUUCCGCGCUGCAUUAGCUAGUUGGUAAGGUAACGUCUUACAAAGGCAACGAUGCAUAUCCGACCUGAGAGGGGGAUCGGCAAAAGUGGAAGGGAGAAAGGGUACAGACACGUACGGGAGGCAGCAGUAGGGAAAGUUCCGAAAGGGGCGAAAGACUGAAGGAGAAACGCAGGGUGAGUGAUGAAGGUCUUCGGAUCGAAAAACGAUGUUAGUAGGGAAGAACAUAGGUGUAAGUAACUGUGAACAGCUUGACGGAACCUAAUAAGAAAGCAACGGCUAACUACGU